RNAcentral lists this ribosomal RNA (439 nucleotides) under uncultured bacterium. RNAcentral's name for it is "partial 16S ribosomal RNA". It matches the Rfam family "Bacterial small subunit ribosomal RNA", at positions 339 to 795 of the family's 1533-position model. The record is from RNAcentral.
CUACGGGGUGCAGCAGUGGGGAAUAUUGCACAAUGGAGGAAACUCUGAUGCAGCAACGCCGCGUGGAGGAUGACACUUUUCGGAGCGUAAACUCCUUUUAUAUAGGAAGAAGAUGACGGUACUAUAUGAAUAAGCGCCGGCUAACUCCGUGCCAGCAGCCGCGGUAAUACGGAGGGCGCAAGCGUUACUCGGAAUCACUGGGCGUAAAGAGCGUGUUGGCGGAUUAAAAAGUCAGAAGUGAAAUCCUAUAGCUUAACUAUAGAACUGCUUCUGAAACUCUUAAUCUAGAAUAUGGGAGAGGUAGAUGGAAUUUCUGGUGUAGGGGUAAAAUCCGUAGAGAUCAGAAGGAAUACCGAUUGCGAAGGCGAUCUACUAGAACAUUAUUGACGCUGAGACGCGAAAGCGUGGGAAGCAAACAGGAUUAGAUACCCUCGUAGUC